Molecule: long non-coding RNA, 1517 nt
Filed under: Taeniopygia guttata (zebra finch)
Lineage: Eukaryota; Metazoa; Chordata; Aves; Passeriformes; Estrildidae
Description: lncRNA (ENSTGUG00000026251.1)
Source: RNAcentral
AUGUCUAUGAUACACCUGAGUGUGUCUAUGAUACACCUGGGUGUGUCUAUGGCACACUUGGGCACACCUGGGCACACCUGGGCACACCUGGGGGCAUUGGGGACAUACCUGGGCACACCUGGGCACACCCAAAACACACCUGGGGCACACCUGGGCACACCUGAGAUACACCUGGGUGUGUCUAUGAUACACCUGGGCACACCUGGGGUCACCUGGGGUCACCUGGAGCCAUUCAGGUACAUCACAGCCCCAACCCCCGGCCACCAUCUUGAUGACAUCAUCGGUCGCCAUCUUGGUGAUUUCUCGGCCGCCAUAUUGGCCAGGCAGCCGCAGCCAAUCAGAAUCCAGCAGUGGGCAUGGCGGCCAUUUUGGAUCGGUGGCCGCAGCCAAUGGGGGAUCAGGAAUGGCUCGGGAGCCGUUUUGGAUCAGCAGCAGCAGCCAAUCACAGACAAGGAUCGCCCUGGCGGCCAUUUUGGCUGGACAGAGUCAGCCAAUGAGAGACGAUGGUGGCCAUUUUGUCUUGUCUGCGAGUAGCCAAUGAGAGACAAGGAUCACAUUGGCGGCCAUCUUGAUUGGGUGAGAUCAACCAAUGAGAGACAAGGAUCCCUUGGCAGCCAUUUUGUCCAUCUGGAAUCAGCCAAUGAGAGACAAGGAUCACAUUGGCGGCCAUCUUGAUUGGUUAGGCUCAACCAAUGAGAGACAAGGAUCACAUUGGCGGCCAUCUUGAUUGGCUGAGAUCAGCCAAUGAGAGACAAGGAUCACAUUGGCGGCCAUCUUGAUUGGGUGAGAUUAUCCAAUGAGAGACAAGGAUCACAUUGGCGGCCAUUUUGUCCAUCUGGAAUCAACCAAUGGGAGACAAGGAUCACAUUGGCGGCCAUUUUGUCCAUCUGGAAUCAGCCAAUGAGAGACAAGGAUCACCUUGGCGGCCAUCUUGACCGGGCAGGAUCAACCAAUGGGAGACAAGGAUCACCUCGGCGGCCAUUUUGUCCAUCUGGAAUCAGCCAAUGAGAGACAAGGAUCACAUUGGCGGCCAUUUUGUCCAUCUGAAACCUUUUCCCGCCCUUUUGGCCCCGCCCACAUUUCCCAGGGUGCCCCCGUGACCUUUGACCCCGGGGGGGGGGGAGGGUCCCCAAAUUUAGGUGGGGGGAGGGGGGGAGGGGGCGGGGCUUGGGGUGGCUCCGCCCCCCGAAUUUCCGUGGCAAUAAAACGGCUUCGAUAUGUAGCGACCCCCCCCCGAAUAAAUAAUGAAUAAUUAAUUAAUUAAUUAAUUGGGGGGGGGAGGGGUAAAAAAAAGCCAAAAAAAAAAAAUUGGGGGGGUGGGGGGGGAGGGGAAGAUAUGUAAAUAAGAUAUGUAAAUAAGCUGGAUCACGUGACCUCAAUAAAGGAUUUUGAACGGUGCCGGGCCCGAAAUUCCAACUGGGAAUUCCCAAAUUCCAACUGGGAAUGACAAAAUUCCAACUGGGAACCCCAAAAUUCCCUCCGGACCCCCAAAAAUUCCCUCCCCAAGCCCUGGGGAG